This 1283-nucleotide ribosomal RNA is filed under the name Bacillus velezensis. RNAcentral describes it as "bacterial SSU rRNA". It matches the Rfam family "Bacterial small subunit ribosomal RNA", at positions 82 to 1436 of the family's 1533-position model. The record is from RNAcentral. Lineage: Bacteria; Bacillati; Bacillota; Bacilli; Caryophanales; Bacillaceae.
CUCCCUGAUGUUAGCGGCGGACGGGUGAGGAACACGUGGGUAACCUGCCUGUUGACUGGGAUAACUCCGGGAAACCGGGGCUAAUACCGGAUGCUUGUUUGAACCGCAUGGUUCAAACAUAAAAGGGGGCUUCGGCUACCACUUACAGAUGGACCCGCGGCGCAUUAGCUAGUUGGUGAGGUAAUGGCUCACCAAGGCAACGAUGCGUAGCCGACCUGAGAGGGUGAUCGGCCACACUGGGACUGAGACACGGCCCAGACUCCUACGGGAGGCAGCAGUAGGGAAUCUUCCGCAAUGGACGAAAGUCUGACGGAGCAACGCCGCGUGAGUGAUGAAGGUUUUCGGAUCGUAAAGCUCUGUUGUUAGGGAAGAACAAGUACCGUUCGAAUAGGGCGGUACCUUGACGGUACCUAACCAGAAAGCCACGGCUAACUACGUGCCAGCAGCCGCGGUAAUACGUAGGUGGCAAGCGUUGUCCGGAAUUAUUGGGCGUAAAGGGCUCGCAGGCGGUUCCUUAAGUCUGAUGUGAAAGCCCCCGGCUCAACCGGGGAGGGUCAUUGGAAACUGGGGAACUUGAGUGCAGAAGAGGAGAGUGGAAUUCCACGUGUAGCGGUGCGAAGGCGACUCUCUGGUCUGUAACUGACGCUGAGUAAACGAUGAGUGCUAAGUGUUAGGGGGUUUCCGCCCCUUAGUGCUGCAGCUAACGCAUUAAGCACUCCGCCUGGGGAGUACGGUCGCAAGACUGAAACUCAAAGGAAUUGACGGGGGCCCGCACAAGCGGUGGAGCAUGUGGUUUAAUUCGAAGCAACGCGAAGAACCUUACCAGGUCUUGACAUCCUCUGACAAUCCUAGAGAUAGGACGUCCCCUUCGGGGGCAGAGUGACAGGUGGUGCAUGGUUGUCGUCAGCUCGUGUCGUGAGAUGUUGGGUUAAGUCCCGCAACGAGCGCAACCCUUGAUCUUAGUUGCCAGCAUUCAGUUGGGCACUCUAAGGUGACUGCCGGUGACAAACCGGAGGAAGGUGGGGAUGACGUCAAAUCAUCAUGCCCCUUAUGACCUGGGCUACACACGUGCUACAAUGGACAGAACAAAGGGCAGCGAAACCGCGAGGUUAAGCCAAUCCCACAAUUCUGUUCUCAGUUCGGAUCGCAGUCUGCAACUCGACUGCGUGAAGCUGGAAUCGCUUGUAAUCGCGGAUCAGCAUGCCGCGGUGAAUCCGUUCCCGGGCCUUGUACACACCGCCCGUCACACCACGAGAGUUUGUUACACCCGAAGUCGGUGAGGU